RNAcentral lists this ribosomal RNA (460 nucleotides) under uncultured bacterium. RNAcentral describes it as "partial 16S ribosomal RNA". It matches the Rfam family "Bacterial small subunit ribosomal RNA", at positions 338 to 795 of the family's 1533-position model. The record is from RNAcentral.
CCUACGAGAGGCAGCAGUGAGGAAUAUUGGUCAAUGGACGCAAGUCUGAACCAGCCAUGUCGCGUGCAGGAAGACGGCUCUAUGAGUUGUAAACUGCUUUUGUACGAGGGUAAACGCAGCUACGUGUAUCUGUCUGAAAGUAUCGUACGAAUAAGGAUCGGCUAACUCUGUGCCAGCAGCCGCGGUAAUACGGAGGAUUCAAGCGUUAUCCGGAUUUAUUGGGUUUAAAGGGUGCGUAGGCGGUCGGAUAAGUUAGAUGUGAAAUCCUGAGGCUCAACUUCGGAAUUGCCUCUGAUACUGUUCGUCUAGAGAGUAGUUGCGGUAGGCGGAAUGUAUGGUGUAGCGGUGAAAUGCUUAGAGAUCAUACAGAACUCCGAUUGCGAAGGCAGCUUACCAGGCUACUUCUGACGUUGAGGCACGAAAGCGUGGGGAGCAAACAGGAUUAGAUACCCGAGUAGUC